Molecule: ribosomal RNA, 812 nt
Filed under: uncultured fungus
Lineage: Eukaryota; Fungi
Description: eukaryotic LSU rRNA
Rfam family: 5.8S ribosomal RNA (bases 247-400)
Source: RNAcentral
UUUCCGUAGGUGACCUGCGGAAGGAUCAUUACCAAGAACCACACAGAAAAGGGAGGCAAAGGGGCCUACAGGGCUAGUAGCUUAUACGUUGUUGAACGUCCUGCCUGGACCCGGAGCCGCCCCCAUCUAAACCCUCUGCGUACCUGUCCCUUCUUGCUUCCCCCGGCAUCUCGUCGGGGGGAGGUAACAACCAAAACUCUCUGUGAAUCAAACAGCCGUCAGAAUUAUAAAACAAACAAAAGUUAAAACUUUCAACAACGGAUCUCUUGGUUCCCACAUCGAUGAAGAACGCAGCGAAAUGCGAUAAGUAAUGUGAAUUGCAGAAUUCAGUGAAUCAUCGAAUCUUUGAACGCACAUUGCGCCCCCUGGUAUUCCGGGGGGCAUGCCUGUUCGAGCGUCAUAAAAACCUCCUCCCCCUUCGGGUUUUGUUACUAUCGUUGGGGGGUUUUGGCCUAAUGGGAUAGCGAUUGGCAAUUCGUUUCCCAAUGUCCUAAAUAGACGUAGACCCGCCUCCAGAUGCGACAGCACCGAGGCCAUCAACCGUGGAGUUAUGGGAUAUAAUAGGCUUGCAGUAAAAUGCUCACCUCUCUCCACACGCCGAUGGCACGACAGUUGCAGUUGCGGGCGUAAAUUGGAGCCCUUUUCAGGACCCUUGUGGCCUAGCAUCCACCAUACAUAAUUUGACCUCGGAUCAGGUAGGGAUACCCGCUGAACUUAAGCAUAUCAAUAAGCGGAGGAAAAGAAACCAACAGGAUUGCCUCAGUAACGGCGAGUGAAGCGGCAAAAGCUCAAAUUUUAAAGCUGACAUCUUC